This 69-nucleotide transfer RNA is filed under the name Glaucostegus granulatus (sharpnose guitarfish). RNAcentral describes it as "tRNA-Tyr". It matches the Rfam family "tRNA". From Rfam's summary of the family: Transfer RNA (tRNA) molecules are approximately 80 nucleotides in length. Their secondary structure includes four short double-helical elements and three loops (D, anti-codon, and T loops). Further hydrogen bonds mediate the characteristic L-shaped molecular structure. tRNAs have two regions of fundamental functional importance: the anti-codon, which is responsible for specific mRNA codon recognition, and the 3' end, to which the tRNAs corresponding amino acid is attached (by aminoacyl-tRNA synthetases). tRNAs cope with the degeneracy of the genetic code in two manners: having more than one tRNA (with a specific anti-codon) for a particular amino acid; and 'wobble' base-pairing, i.e. permitting non-standard base-pairing at the 3rd anti-codon position. The record is from RNAcentral. Lineage: Eukaryota; Metazoa; Chordata; Chondrichthyes; Rhinopristiformes; Glaucostegidae.
GGUAAGAUGGCUGAGUCCAAGUGGCGGAUUGUAGCUCCGUAAACAGAGGUUAAAACCCUCUUCUUAUCA